UCAGUAAACAUCUACUCAGAGUCAACUUUUCUCUUCACCACUGUGAGGCGCUGUUUCACAAUAACUGUACAAUAGAGUUAAAUACAUCAACAGAAGCUCCACUUGAUUGACGCUGGAAUGUUCUCAGGUAGUCUAGUGUUCGGUAAGGGAGCUGAAGCGAUGCAUUAUGGGAUCUGUAGUUUGUGUUAUCAGCGCUUCAUAUCGACGGGACAUUAAUAACAAUAAUAAUAGAUCUUUAUAAAAUAAUCUCGCGGGACAGAUAUAAUUGUACGUCGGGUCGGAUGUGACACUGGGUUUGACACCCCUGAUCUCUGUGAAGACACUGAUCAUCUUAAUGAUUUCUCACAAUAAUUAUCAACAAUCAUUUAACAAGGUAGAAAACAGAUAUUUUUAGAAAAGGCUCAUGGGCGACUCAUGUGGUCCUUGCGGGCGACCUGGUGCACCACGUUGGUGACCCCUGCACUAGAUUUUGUGCUUGUGGACAUUUGUGUUCAUUAUCUACAAGUGUGUUAGUAAAGAAGGUGAGAAGGUGAGGAGUUCUGGGGUGCAGUCGGUGUUUACAUUCAUCCCCAAGGUGUUCAGUCAUUCAGUAAGGAUGAUCCAGCAGGCUACUCGACAUCUUCCUCUCCAAUCCAUAUAAAGCAGAUCUUCAUGGAGCUGGCUUUGUGCACUUCCAUGCUGGAACAGGUUUGAGUUUCGAAGUUCAAGUGAAACAAAUUUUAUUAUAUUUUUAUUAUACCGCAUCCAAAGACAUAUAAGGACAAAAUCUAAAUCCUACACGUAAUUUUUACAUUUAGAUUUUCAUAUUAUAUAUUUUAAUAUCCUCAUCUCGUUUGAAAUCUCCACAGCAGAUCAUCCGUCUCCAUACCACUCUGUUCUCUCACUCCUUGAUCUUCCUCUUUUCCUUCAUCCUCAGUGUUCUUCUACUGAUAUACCCCAUAUCCCUUAUCUGAACAUCACCAAACCUCAAAUCACCUCGUCUCCACAAAUUCCCACCUGCACUGUCCCUCUAAUAAAAUCCUUCCCAAUCCUGUACAUCUUCAUCUCUUCACCACCAGCUUCACCUCCUGUCUUUUUAACCCUCAUCCUGUCUUCUCAGAGACCGAGAUUUCAACUCGAUUUAUUUUAAUGACUGAUAUAAAUAAAGUUCAACAGUAUUUAUGUUGUGCAUGUGGGCAGAAGGUCUCAGUUCUCAGCGUGGGGUUCAGAUUAAAUCAGGACGGAGCGAUUGACCAGGUCUCAGCAUUCAGCGUUCCAUCUUUUUGUUUGGGAUGAUGACUACAGGGUCGCUCCAUUCGCUUCUGGAUGGCCUUCACCUCGUCUCGUAAGGGUUCCAGUAGACUUUCUGGGACAUGGUAAGAUUGUGGAAUAGUUCAGUUACUGGUCCACAGGUGAAGCUCUCGGGGUCUUUUGGGUGCUUGAUGUUCAGCUCUUUGCUGUUUUUUCUUACUUCUGGUUUUGGUUCCUCAGCCUUUGCAGGUGGCUUUUACUAUAAGUCAUUCACCAGGCCAUCUUUCUUACUACACCUUCAUCCCCUGCCAUGUUGGAAGGAGAACACCUUCUGCCCUGGCUGUAGCUCUCUCUCUCUGUCUCUCUGUUUCUCUCUCUCUGUCAAGUGUUUUGUUUACACCAUGUCUUCUAUGUUGUCUGGGCUUCUAUCAGGUUUUCUGUUUCCUCCGCUUGAUAGUCUCCAGAACAUACCGAAAGAUGGUUUCUUCUUUCCACUGCAACAGGAUCCAUCCAAGAGGUCCUUACACUUAGCAGUUGUAGAGGAGCUCAGAUGGGGAGAAACCAGUCAAAGCUUGAGGCACUUCAGCGACUUCCUCCAGACUACACCCCUGAUAAGGACAUUGCUCUCCAAUGAGGACAUCAUGGACAAUGUCACUCAACCCCCUCAGGUGAAUAAACCUGAGACCCAAAAGCAGAUGUGAGGGAACCACCAUCAGAGGCUGGAGAACAUCGUCAAGUAGAUGGUGGUGGAGAAUAAGGUGUAUGUCUUGUCUUACUGUAUAGUUGGAGCUCAGCAGAAAAAAACCUCCACCACCUCCAAGAUAAGUGUGACCAUUUUUUUAUUAUUUAUAUUUUAUAAUUUUUGUUAUUUGUUAAAUACAUUUUAGAAAGAAUAAUUUUUUUUUAGCCUAAGGGGAUUUUCUUUGUUUCGUUGUGCCUAAAGAGAAAGUGUCUGCUAACCUAUCCACAAGUUAAUGUUCUGGACUGUAACAGAACACAAAUGUUUAUGUUUAUCGAGUUCUACACAUAACACUCACAUUUCAUAACCUUGUGCUCCGGAACAUCUGAUCACAUGCACAUUAUCAACUUGUGCUUGUUAAUAUCAUGAACAGCAUCUACACUAAGUUCUCUCCACUGCUUCUCUUUCUCUACCCAUCCCGAGGUUGCACCAGUUCCAGUCGUGUCCCCCUCAAGGACCUUCAACGAGUAGAUGCCAGCAAACAUCCUGAACCAUCUAAAUACACACCAGCACCAUUUGGAUUCCAUUUUAUGUAGAGUUUGGACAUUGGACCUCUUUGAGUGUUUAAAGGC
Long non-coding RNA from Silurus meridionalis, 2541 nucleotides. RefSeq lists it as uncharacterized. The transcript is spliced from 3 exons. NCBI's taxonomy places the organism in Eukaryota, Metazoa, Chordata, Actinopteri, Siluriformes, Siluridae. The record is from RefSeq and is a predicted model, not a curated record.